AUUGAACGCUGGCGGCGUGCCUAACACAUGCAAGUCGCGCGAGAAAGUGGGCUUCGGCCCGCGAGUACAGCGGCGCACGGGUGAGUAACACGUGGGUGAUCUACCUAACAGAUUGGGAUAACAGCGGGAAACUGCUGCUAAUACCGAAUACGAUCCAUUUAAUCGUGGAUGAAAGGCGGCCUCUGCUUGCAAGCUGUCACUGUUAGAUGAGCCCGCGUCCCAUUAGCUUGUUGGCGGGGUAAUGGCCCACCAAGGCUUACGAUGGGUAGCUGGUCUGAGAGGAUGACCAGCCACACUGUGACUGAAACACGGCCCAGACUCCUACGGGUGGCUG
Molecule: ribosomal RNA, 334 nt
Filed under: uncultured Pseudomonadota bacterium
Lineage: Bacteria; Pseudomonadati; Pseudomonadota
Description: bacterial SSU rRNA
Rfam family: Bacterial small subunit ribosomal RNA
Source: RNAcentral